Ctenopharyngodon idella (grass carp) is the source of this 1958-nucleotide long non-coding RNA. RefSeq lists it as uncharacterized. Lineage: Eukaryota; Metazoa; Chordata; Actinopteri; Cypriniformes; Xenocyprididae. The transcript is spliced from 3 exons. The record is from RefSeq and is a predicted model, not a curated record.
CACUGUAAUUAGGGUGGAAUGUAAAGAAGAAAAGAGGACGGAAGCAACAAAUGAAGACAUAAGAAAGGAAAAAAAGGACUAAGCAGUAAAAGGGAGAAACCCACAUAGAUUAAAGACACACCUGUCAUCACUACAUCACUGCUGAUUUCACCCCUCUUCCUUUUUUUCACGACCCCGAGAACCCCGUCUGGAGUCUGUCCUGUUGAAGAGAGAGAGGAAAUGCAAAAUUCACGCACAUGUUCUAAAAGGACAGUUGCAAAUCCCAGCUAAACUCAUAUUCUCUUUUCUGUCUUGAUGGGCAGUGACAAAGAUUUAUACAUGGUGGUCUGAUGGUCAUUUUUGCAUAUGAGACAAAAAUAAUUAUUAUAUCCUAGAGAUGACAUGUAGAUGGAGAAGAGAAGUGGUCCAAGCACUGAGCCCUGAGGCACUCCAGUAUCUAGAUGUUGAGACUUAGACACCUUACCCCUCCACGACACCCUGAAGGACCUACCUGAGAGCAAAGAACAGAUGGAGGCUUCUUCUGUGUUUUGCAAGCCCGAGAAAAAGCAGCGGCAACAUAAACUCCCACACAUAAAUAAAAACAAGAACAGUGGGAUACAGACUGAGAACAUUAUCCCCCCACGCGCCUCCCCUCCAAACCCUGUCCCAAGAGAGGAACUUCAGCUGAGGAUGGUGGGGCUCGUAAAUCAGUGAUUGCCGUGUUGAGAUUGAGACUGUCUCCCUACAUUCUCCCUGAAGAAUUAUGAGCUCUCAUGCUUUUUCUUUCAGUUUGAUGAUUCUGCCUCAUCUAUGCAUGUAUCAUUGAAGACUAAAAUCUUCAUCUGUUUCACAAUGACAUUAAGACUGUAGCAAUAUGUGUGUGUGUUUGUUGAUGAAGUCUGAGAGCUCUCUAACAGGUCAUUCUUUAAUGACCAUAAAGAGGCAGAAGAUCUAUGAUUAAAGGUUCUGGUCUGCUAUUACUAAGUGUAUCAGAGAAAAAUGGCUUCUUCUGGACAUAAAUAUUUGCAAUGGCUUUAGUUAGAGAGUUUUAGGGGUGAUCUGAAAGCCCAGCGUUCGGUGGAUGGGGUCUUGAGAGAGGCCUGUAUCCGGCAGGCUGCUCCCCUCUGACCCCGGGCGGCGUGGGAAAGAGAGUAUGGGGAACUGGCGUGACCAGGGACAUUAACACAGAUGACUCUAGCAGACCUGGCUGAACACCUGUCCUCCUCCUCUCUACCUCAGACAUCAGUCAGUGGAGCUUCGCCAAACCACUUUUCUCCCAAUGAGAUGGGGAGGAAGCCUGAUCAUAUCCAAGAAAUCCUUGCCUUCAUCCCAUUUUCUCUACAUAAUGUACAUAAAAUGUGAUAACUAUGGAAGCUUGUUUCUGCCAUGAAAUAAAAAAUAUAAAAGGUAAUUGCGACUUUUUAUCUCACAAUUCGGGCUCUUUAUUUUUUCAUAAAGAAUUUUUUCAGAAUUGCGAUAUAAACUCACAAUUGUGAGUUAUAAAGUCAGAAUUGUGAGAUAUAAACUCGCAAUUGCAUGUUUUAAUGUCCAAUUAUGAGGGGAAAAAGACUGAUGUUUUUCUCUGAAUUGCAAGUUUAUCUCACAAUUCUGACUUUAUAACUCACAACUGCAUGAUUUUUUCUCAGAAUUGUGAGUUUAUAUCAUUAUUCUGAGUUUAUAAGACGCAAUUCUGACUUAAUAUUACGCAAUUCUGACUUUAUAAUUCGCAAUUACGAGUUUAAAUCUCCCAAUUCAAAAUUGUGAGAUGCAAACUCGCAAUUGAGAGAAAAAAAGUCAGAAUUGUGAGAUAAAAAGUCACAAUUACCUUUUUUAUUUUUUUAUUUAGUGGUGGAAACAAGCUUCCAUAAAUAACAUAUCAAAUGUUUAAUUAUUUAUAAAUAAAGAAUUUGGUAAUAUUACGGUUUCAUUUUGCAGUCUAAAGACUUAGUCUAAAGUUGGAAAUUUUGAAAAAAAAUAAA